GCACUGCUGAGGAGUCCCACAAUAGGACGAAACAGCUGUCCAUUGC
Molecule: non-coding RNA, 46 nt
Filed under: Schistosoma bovis
Lineage: Eukaryota; Metazoa; Platyhelminthes; Trematoda; Strigeidida; Schistosomatidae
Also listed under: 1 other name
Source: RNAcentral